AGUGAACGCUGGCGGCGUGCUUAACACAUGCAAGUCGCACGAGAAAGCUUCUGCUUGCAGAGGCGAGUAAAGUGGCGCACGGGUGAGUAACACGUGGGUAAUCUACCUCCGAAUUGGGGAUAACAUUGCGAAAGCGAUGCCAAUACCGAAUAACAUCCCUGGAUCUGCGGAUUCUGGGAUCAAAGGUGGCCUCUUCAUGAAAGCUACUGUUUGGAGAUGAGCCCGCGGCCCAUUAGCUUGUUGGUGGGGUAACGGCCUACCAAGGCGACGAUGGGUAGCUGGUCUGAGAGGAUGAUCAGCCACACUGGAACUGACACACGGUCCAGACUCCUACGGGAGGCAGCAGUGAGGAAUUUUGCGCAAUGGGGGAAACCCUGACGCANCAACGCCGCGUGAGUGAUGAAGGCCUUCGGGUCGUAAAGCUCUGUCAAGUGGGAAGAACCCGCAUUUGGCUAAUACCCAUAUGCGCUGACGGUACCACUGAANGAAGCACCGGCUAACUCCGUGCCAGCAGCCGCGGUAAUACGGAGGGUGCAAGCGUUACUCGGANUCACUGCGCGUAAAGCGCGCGCAGGCGGCCUUUUAAGUUGGAUGUGAAAGCCUAUGGCUCAACCAUAGAACUGCAUCCAAAACUAUUGGGCUAGAGUGUGGGAGAGGAAGAUGGAAUUAGUUGUGUAGGGGUAAAAUCCGUAGGAGAUAACUAGGAAUA
RNAcentral lists this ribosomal RNA (709 nucleotides) under uncultured bacterium. RNAcentral's name for it is "bacterial SSU rRNA". It matches the Rfam family "Bacterial small subunit ribosomal RNA", at positions 28 to 708 of the family's 1533-position model. The record is from RNAcentral.